RNAcentral lists this ribosomal RNA (574 nucleotides) under uncultured Actinomycetes bacterium. RNAcentral's name for it is "bacterial SSU rRNA". It matches the Rfam family "Bacterial small subunit ribosomal RNA", at positions 59 to 647 of the family's 1533-position model. Lineage: Bacteria; Bacillati; Actinomycetota; Actinomycetes. The record is from RNAcentral.
CAGUCGACGAUGAAGUGGAGCUUGCUCCACGGAUUAGUGGCGAACGGGUGAGGAACACGUGAGAAACCUGCCUUUCAUUCUGGGAUAACACCGGGAAACCGGUGCUAAUACCGGAUACUCCGUCUUGGCGGCAUCGCCGAGCCGGGAAAAAAUUUUGAUGAAAGAUGGUCUCGCGGCCUAUCAGCUAGUUGGUGAGGUAAAGGCUCACCAAGGCGACGACGGGUAGCCGGCCUGAGAGGGCGACCGGCCACACUGGGACUGAGACACGGCCCAGACUCCUACGGGAGGCAGCAGUAGGGAAUAUUGGGCAAUGGGCGCAAGCCUGACCCAGCGACGCCGCGUGAGGGAUGAAGGUCUUCGGAUUGUAAACCUCUUUCAGUAGGGAAGAAGCGAAAGUGACGGUACCUAAAGAAGAAGCACCGGCUAACUAUGUGCCAGCAGCCGCGGUAAUACAUAGGGUGCAAGCGUUGCCCGGAAUUAUUGGGCGUAAAGAGCUCGUAGGUCGUUUGUCGCGUCGAUUGUGAAAAUCUGAGGCUCAACCUCAGACCUGCAGUCGAUACGGGCAAACUAGAGU